This 207-nucleotide ribosomal RNA is filed under the name uncultured bacterium. RNAcentral's name for it is "partial 16S ribosomal RNA". It matches the Rfam family "Bacterial small subunit ribosomal RNA", at positions 524 to 731 of the family's 1533-position model. The record is from RNAcentral.
UACGUAGGGUGCAAGCGUGUCCGGAAUUAUUGGGCGUAAAGAGCUCGUAGGCGGUCUGUUACGUCGGCUGUGAAAACCUGGGGCUCAACCCCGGGCCUGCAACCGAUACGGGCAGACUAGAGUUCGGCAGGGGAGACUGGAAUUCCUGGUGUAGCGGUGAAAUGCGCAGAUAUCAGGAGGAACACCGGUGGCGAAGGCGGCCAGCUG